RNAcentral lists this microRNA (18 nucleotides) under Gallus gallus (chicken). RNAcentral's name for it is "microRNA Ros-gga". Lineage: Eukaryota; Metazoa; Chordata; Aves; Galliformes; Phasianidae. The record is from RNAcentral.
AGCGAUGGCGGCCAUGGC